RNAcentral lists this non-coding RNA (304 nucleotides) under Neotoma lepida (desert woodrat). Lineage: Eukaryota; Metazoa; Chordata; Mammalia; Rodentia; Cricetidae. The record is from RNAcentral.
GACACGAUGCUCCUGGGUAGAUACUCCUUAGAACUGUGUUGGAGCCAGGAGAGCCCUAAUUAGGCACUGCAGCCACCAGGAGGACCCGUCUGUCCCUAAAGCCCACCGGAGGUCCCAGCACAGAAAAGCCCCGGAUUGGAUCCUCUGGUAAGUCCUGGAGAGUGUUGGAGGUUGGUGGAGUCCCACACCCUGUGUGACCCCCAGGGGACGGAAGCACCUCUAUAUUUAAAAAGAGCUGAGAAGUAAGAAGUGUUUAGUCACCAGCUGGAGACUAACGGAUGCUUAUCUGACUACAUCCACCACG